This 468-nucleotide ribosomal RNA is filed under the name uncultured bacterium. RNAcentral's name for it is "partial 16S ribosomal RNA". It matches the Rfam family "Bacterial small subunit ribosomal RNA", at positions 28 to 507 of the family's 1533-position model. The record is from RNAcentral.
GACGAACGCUGGCGGCGUGCUUAACACAUGCAAGUCGAACGGAAAGGCCCUGCUUUUGUGGGGUGCUCGAGUGGCGAACGGGUGAGUAACACGUGAGUAACCUGCCCUUGACUUUGGGAUAACUUCAGGAAACUGGGGCUAAUACCGGAUAGGAGCUCCUGCUGCAUGGUGGGGGUUGGAAAGUUUCGGCGGUUGGGGAUGGACUCGCGGCUUAUCAGCUUGUUGGUGGGGUAGUGGCUUACCAAGGCUUUGACGGGUAGCCGGCCUGAGAGGGUGACCGGCCACAUUGGGAAUGAGAUACGGCCCAGACUCCUACGGGAGGCAGCAGUGGGGAAUAUUGCACAAUGGGCGGAAGCCUGAUGCAGCAACGCCGCGUGCGGGAUGACGGCCUUCGGGUUGUAAACCGCUUUCGCCUGUGACGAAGCGGGAGUGACGGUAAUGGGUAAAGAAGCACCGGCUAACUACGUG